Thermomonospora curvata DSM 43183 is the source of this 77-nucleotide regulatory RNA element. It matches the Rfam family "6C RNA". NCBI's taxonomy places the organism in Bacteria, Bacillati, Actinomycetota, Actinomycetes, Streptosporangiales, Thermomonosporaceae. The record is from Rfam.
AACGGUCCGGCCCUGCCCCCCCUGGGGCCGGACCGGAUGGCGACCCCCGCUCUCCCCCCCGGCGGGGGUCGCCGCAC